This 260-nucleotide ribosomal RNA is filed under the name uncultured bacterium. RNAcentral's name for it is "partial 16S ribosomal RNA". It matches the Rfam family "Bacterial small subunit ribosomal RNA", at positions 515 to 775 of the family's 1533-position model. The record is from RNAcentral.
CCGCGGUAAUACGGAGGAUGCGAGCGUUAUCCGGAUUCAUUGGGUUUAAAGGGUGCGUAGGCGGACUAUUAAGUCAGUGGUGAAAUCCUGCAGCUUAACUGCAGAACUGCCAUUGAUACUGAUAGCCUUGAGUUUGGUAAGGUAGGCGGAAUGUGUAAUGUAGCGGUGAAAUGCUUAGAUAUUACACAGAACACCAAUUGCGUAGGCAGCUUACUGAGCCGACACUGACGCUGAGGCACGAAAGCGUGGGGAUCGAACAG